Non-coding RNA from Pogona vitticeps (central bearded dragon), 1142 nucleotides. Lineage: Eukaryota; Metazoa; Chordata; Lepidosauria; Squamata; Agamidae. The record is from RefSeq and is a predicted model, not a curated record.
AUUAGCCUAGCAUGUCCCUUUAGAAGCCCAAAGACCAUCGGGAGGAACAGGCUACCUCAGCCCAGUCAACAGAUGGAGCCCUUUAAUUGGGGAAUUUAGCACAAAUCCCAGCCAAAGAUGGCAAGACACAGAAAACGCUGUGCCUGUCGAUCUAGGAGCUCAGGGGCUCGGCAGCAUAAGCGGCGUAAGAGUGGGAAGAAGAAAAAGAAGAACUGCGGCAAGCAACUAAUCCGUAAGAACAAUGGAUACGUUCGUAUUACAACCACCUGCCGUUACAAGAGGAAGUAACCUCUGGUUUCUGACUUGUCAUGAAAACAUUUGUCUCAUUAUCAUACCAUCCACAACAAAGUCACCUGCUUCCAACAAUGAACAAUUGUGACCAGUGACCACCACAUGUCAUCAAACAACGAAGAGACCAUCAGAACGUCGGAGAGUUGCUGCAAGAUCUUGGAGCUGCUGCUUUAUGUGAGCAGUAAUGGUAGCUUCUCAAUACAAGUGCAAAAUGCAUCUAUUGUGUGAUAUAUUCUCUAGCUUAAAAAGGGAUGUGGAAUUCUACAAGACUGGUCCUACUGUCAGACCAUGAGGGGAAGGACAGAGGUGUUUCUUAAAUGUUCUGCAGCAGGUACCAUAAUAACUUGACUGUCCUUGAGCACUAUGACCUUGACCUGGGGAUAGAAGACUGUCAUAUGCUGCUUCAUGUCAGACAGCAAAAUAUUUUGGGCUACGCUUGCCAGAAUUACUGGAAAGCAUUUGAUAAACCCUUUGGUUUUUGUUUGUUUGAUACUUAGGUUAAAUAGAGUUGUUCGUUCCUCAUCUGUUUGACAGACUGUCUUUCUUGCCCUCUUUCUCAUUCCCUCUCUAGCCUACCCUUCACCAAAUCACCUUGCAGUUAAAACAAACGGGCUUAAAUUGUUGGGUUUUGUAUUUUACCCUCAAGAGUAUUUAACUAUUUAAAUAUAGUUUCCAGGAAAUACUAGAAACAACAAAACAUAUUUUCAAAGGCCCCCAAUUACUUCAUUAUUGAAAGAAGGGGUAAGGAAUCAUUGGCCCACUACAUAUUUGGGAUUUCAUCUCUCAUCUUCAGUCAAGGUAAGUUGACUGACGAAUUAUGUGAGCAGCAGCCCAAAAUAUCUGGCAGACCA